GUGCCAGCCGCCGCGGUAAUACGAAGGGUGCAAGCGUUACUCGGAAUUACUGGGCGUAAAGCGUGCGUAGGUGGUUGUUUAAGUCUGCUGUGAAAGCCCUGGGCUCAACCUGGGAAUUGCAGUGGAUACUGGGCGACUAGAGUGUGGUAGAGGACAGUGGAAUUUCCGGUGUAGCAGUGAAAUGCGUAGAGAUCGGAGGGAACAUCUGUGGCGAAGGCGACUGUCUGGGCCAACACUGACACUGAGGCACGAAAGCGUGGGGAGCGAACAGGAUUAGAUACCCGUGUAGUCC
RNAcentral lists this ribosomal RNA (292 nucleotides) under uncultured bacterium. Its description in RNAcentral is "partial 16S ribosomal RNA". It matches the Rfam family "Bacterial small subunit ribosomal RNA", at positions 505 to 796 of the family's 1533-position model. The record is from RNAcentral.